CUUUCCUUGACGACGACUGGCGCACGGGUGAGUAACGCGUAUCCAACCUUCCCAUGACCACGGAUAACCGUGAAAGACGGCCUAAUACCGUAUGACGUCGUUGCCGACAUCGAAAGACGGCCAAAGGUUUGGCGGUGAUGGAUGGGGAUGCGUCUGAUUAGCUUGUUGGCGGGGUAACGGCCCACCAAGGCGACGAUCAGUAGGGGUUCUGAGAGGAAGGUCCCCCACAUUGGAACUGAGACACGGUCCAAACUCCUACGGGAGGCAGCAGCC
Molecule: ribosomal RNA, 273 nt
Filed under: uncultured Prevotella sp.
Lineage: Bacteria; Pseudomonadati; Bacteroidota; Bacteroidia; Bacteroidales; Prevotellaceae
Description: partial 16S ribosomal RNA
Rfam family: Bacterial small subunit ribosomal RNA
Source: RNAcentral